This is a non-coding RNA of Salvelinus sp. IW2-2015, 2582 nucleotides long. Lineage: Eukaryota; Metazoa; Chordata; Actinopteri; Salmoniformes; Salmonidae. The record is from RefSeq and is a predicted model, not a curated record.
AGGAGAAAAACAUGGUGUCGAUGUUUACUGUAAACAAACUUGAAUGGGCCUAACCCUGCCACUUUCGAGCACUUUCACUGCCUGCUGCAUACUUUCACGCAACAAUUUAAUUAGGCCUACUUGGAAAACAUUGGAAUAUUAUUAAAAACACAUUUCAAUAUUACUAUAAGAUUGUUUUGAUCAGGGUGUUUAACGCAAUGUUUUACAUCUAGACUUAUUUGUGAAUUUCAAACGAAUUAUGCAAUAUAGUAUGAAAAAACGGCUGUCCUUAUGCAUCGCUCAAAUGUUGCCGAAUUUAUUGUAUCAAAGUUGCCCAUGCGAAAGCCAGAAGUGUCCCAAUAUUGUCCUACAUAGGUCUAUAUCCUCUGUAGCCUGCCUCUGCCAGAACCUCGCACGACAGACAGGGUUUCGAAUUUCACAGUCCCUACAGUGGGCUUGCCUUCACACUCAUUUCAAGCACAAAGGAAAGCUGUGCAAAAAUGAUAUUGUAAAUGUAACUUUUCGAUUUUAUUUAGGUAAUAUGUUUCUUUUUAUUCUAUACAUAAGCCUAAAAGACAGGUUAAGCGAUGCGAUCCAUGAAAGGGGGCUGAUAGCGUUAUAUUCCGUUAAAGUAGGGAAGUAAAGUUAGGCUACAGGUAAAGCGGGCAAACAACAGCCUAGUGAGAGUCAAUAACAAAGACCCAAAGGACUCCACAAAUCCGGUGAAAAUAAGGUGAAAAUGGAAGACUUCGCUUGAGAAAUUCGUCCGAUUAUAAAAGAGGAACGUAAAAAAGAACCAUGAUCCGAUGAAAAAAUAAUGACAAACUUACCAGACAUGUUGUACAAAUUAAGAAGGAGUCCUGGAAGAAGAGCAGUUAUGAGAUUCCACAAUGUCCUUUUCUGGCUCAGUUAUAUGGGCUAUAACGAAAUAUUCAUAAAAGUCACACAAAUUCUCAACACACAAGUCUUAAAACUGUCUCAGAGCAUACAAUAAUAUCCUAAUAUAGCUAGGGAUAUAUUAGUUUGUGAAAUUUUCUUUCCAUGCCUACUUUUUAAAACCCCUAGAACUCAAUGAUUUGACAAUGAUUUGAUUGCGCGUUACUUUCAAUUUGAAUAUUCAAAGGCUACUCAAAAAUACAGAUUUUUCAGUAUAAAUCAAUACAUAUGCACUUAAAAUAACAUUUCAUUUAAUAGAAUUUAAUAAUAUUUUAUACCCAAACCAAAAAGAAAUUGACAUUUUAAACAUUUUAUCCAUCUUUUGCCAAUCUGCCCAUCAGUCCCUCUUCAUAAUGAGGCACUACAGGAAAGUAACGGUUAGAUGUUCUAUGUAAACAUGACCAACAAUUAAACAUCGCAGAUCAUAUCUAUUUCAGGAUGGAUGAGCACAUCAACACGUUAUGACUAUACAUUUUUAGUCUUAUUUUAAACAAUAAACUAUGAAAUGUCUAGGUUGUGGGCGUGGCAUAUGGUAGCAGCCAUUUCUGCCAUCACUGACUCCAUUGCUCCCUCAGCAAUUGCAUGCUCCCCAUCACUGGAACUCACAUCACCCACGUCUUACCAAUUGUAUUAUAGUUGUUUUAGCAUUAUUUAGUCUUUAUAUUAUAUAAUUAAUGUAACUAGACUGAACGUUUCAGCCAUUCACAUGUCAAACCUGAUUUGACAUCCCAGGGCUAGGCUACUAUAUACGAAUCGAGAAAACUAUUUACAAAUGAAUUACAAUGCAAAAAUUCGGUUUACAAACGUCUGAUAUAUUUUCAAUUCAAUGACAAGACUCCCCGAUUAGUCUACUUGUGUAGCCUAGGCCUACUUAGAUGUGGGCAAAGUAAUUUCAAUUGAUAGACUUAUUUGAAUAGGGUUACUGUCCAUACCUGUUUAAAUUUAUAAGAGUUUACAACUUAAUACAUAUAUGAGAAAACAGCACAUUGCUUUAGAGAAAACCAUUUCCUAUGAAUGUUCUUCCAUUGCCAUUGUGAGCCUACAUUACAUCUGAAUAACAAUUUACAAACAUAUUAAACAAUGAACUCGAACUUAUACCUAGUUUUAAUUAAAAUAGCUUAGAUUUCAGUUUUGGGGUAUCGAUCUAUCAUUAUCCUCACUCAUAUAUUGAGAAAAUGCACACACUAUCUGCCCAAUACAAUCUAUGGCCUUUCCUGAUUUGUACUGGUAGGGGCCUAUACAAUGAUCCCUAUUAUGUAGGCCUAAAUCCCAUCAUCUCCACUGGGUAGUUCUAUUGACAAACUUCUCACCUUCCAUAAAGUUAUCCUAACUACCAAGAAUAUUAUGCUAGUGCUCUCAUAGAAUAUCUAACGUUUGGCUUUUUUUAUUGAUUUAUUGCUGCAGUUGCAAUUCCCCCCCAUGAAUUACGCUGAUAUCGUAAGAGAAGAUGUAACAUGAAACAACCGCGCCAUCUAGUGUGGGAUAUACGUUAGUAGGUUCUCCCUCAGUCUUAAUUCGAUGUAGUGGUGACAGAACAAAAUAUAACUCAACGGAAAAGUAAUGUUUUUUUCAUGUGUCAUUUUAGCAAAAAAUAUGUUUCAUUUUCAAUCAUUUAUUGCAGUGUCUUUUAUUAUAAUGGAUUUAUAAUAAAGAAUUCUACUGCCCUA